AAGAGAAGUCAGGAGACAAGGAAAACUGCUAAUUUCCCCCAUCCGUAGUUCGACUCCACGGUUCUCUUA
RNAcentral lists this transfer RNA (69 nucleotides) under Aetobatus flagellum (longheaded eagle ray). RNAcentral describes it as "tRNA-Ser". The record is from RNAcentral. Lineage: Eukaryota; Metazoa; Chordata; Chondrichthyes; Myliobatiformes; Myliobatidae.